CCCUGCCAUUUGUACACACCGCCCGUCGCACCUACCGAUUGAAUGACUCGAUGAAAAAUUGGGACCGUGAAUUGACUUGCUUCAUUGCGAAUCUUUUCGUGGGAACUUUUUUUAAUCUCGCCAUUUAGAGGAAGGUGAAGUCGUAACAAG
RNAcentral lists this ribosomal RNA (150 nucleotides) under uncultured eukaryote. RNAcentral describes it as "partial small subunit ribosomal RNA". It matches the Rfam family "Eukaryotic small subunit ribosomal RNA", at positions 1651 to 1798 of the family's 1831-position model. The record is from RNAcentral.